Molecule: ribosomal RNA, 615 nt
Filed under: uncultured Actinomycetes bacterium
Lineage: Bacteria; Bacillati; Actinomycetota; Actinomycetes
Description: bacterial SSU rRNA
Rfam family: Bacterial small subunit ribosomal RNA
Source: RNAcentral
GUGGGGUAAUGGCCUACCAAGGCUUCGACGGGUAGCCGGCCUGAGAGGGUGAUCGGCCACACUGGGACUGAGACACGGCCCAGACUCCUACGGGAGGCAGCAGUGGGGAAUAUUGGACAAUGGGCGGAAGCCUGAUCCAGCAACGCCGCGUGAGGGAUGACUGCCUUCGGGUUGUAAACCUCUUUCAUCAUUGACGAAGUCCAGCGUUUAGUUGGGUGACGGUAGGUGGAGAAGAAGCACCGGCCAACUACGUGCCGGCAGCCGCGGUAAUACGUAGGGUGCGAGCGUUGUCCGGAAUUAUUGGGCGUAAAGGGCUCGUAGGCGGUUUGUCGCGUCGGGAGUGAAAACACUGGGCUUAACCGAGUGCUUGCUUUCGAUACGGGCAGACUAGAGGUAUGCAGGGGAGAACGGAAUUCCUGGUGUAGCGGUGAAAUGCGCAGAUAUCAGGAGGAACACCGGUGGCGAAGGCGGUUCUCUAGGCAUUACCUGACGCUGAGGAGCGAAAGUGUGGGGAGCGAACAGGAUUAGAUACCCUGGUAGUCCACACCGUAAACGUUGGGCGCUAGGUGUGGGGCCUAUUCCAUGGGCUCCGUGCCGCAGCUAACGCAUUAAGCG